UCAUAUUUUAUUUUCAAUUUUAAAAAAUAAAUCAAUAAGUACAAGUACUUUAAUUUUGUAGUAAUCUAAUUUUUUUACUUUUUUGUCAUCUUUAAAAUAUUAAGAAACAAAUAUAUUACAAAGGAGGCCAAAGACGAGAAAGUCGAGAAAAAAAACUAAAGGCCCAACAGGAGUCCACAACAAAAAUGCCCAAAAGAAAUUGGUUGUCCACUUGCACACCACGCGUUACUGAUUAGCGUGAGUAGAACAACACGUGUCAAGCAUUCUGCGAAGGAGAUGCACGCGUCACACAAAAGGACCACCGACUUCAAGUCAAAACUUGCUAUAAAUCUUGGGCGUCAGAAAGCUAGAAAGCGCCGUUUGAUGAGCCUGCGUAGUAUUAGGUAGUUGGUUAGGUAAAGCGCUCCGACGACCACCGGAACACACCAUAGACAGGCCAUCAGGAAGGAGGAACCUUGGAGACAUCUUCAGACCAUAAGCUAGCUAAUCCAGUGGAAGUUAAGUCGCCGGAGCUUUGAGGAGAGCCAACCAACGAACCAACACCACUAUCUACAGAUCUCCGCUUCAGACUAAUUGUCUUCAAUCAAAUCAGUCGAUCAAGCUAUCGAUUUCCAUGCGAGACAAUCAAAUCAUCUUGAAAGAUUAGAAGAAGCUUGAAGAUGCCAACAACCUUAACCGAGGGAAGGACAAUCAAUCGAGAGCUAGAGUCGAGGAUUGAAUGAAGGAGAGCAAGAGGCAGAGAUCAAGCUCAAACUAGAGAAAUAUGAUGAAAAACUAGCCGCUCAUCUAAGAAGGAAAAGGAUGAUGACUAGAGCCAUGAGCCGGCAUGAAGGUGUGGAGUUACCACCGAAUACCUGAGCCAAAAGCCGAUGACAUCAAUGUUGAAGAAACCACCAGUCACCAGAGCCAGAGUCGACGUCGAUGUUGAGUAAACCAUCGACCACCAGAGAUGAACUCGACCAUGGGGCCGACACCAGAGGACUAACACCGGCGAUGAGUCUAUCUCUAUGAAAGAUUAGAGAGGGAAGAGAG
Molecule: long non-coding RNA, 1032 nt
Filed under: Brassica napus (rape)
Lineage: Eukaryota; Viridiplantae; Streptophyta; Magnoliopsida; Brassicales; Brassicaceae
Description: long non-coding RNA (BNAP_LNC009505)
Source: RNAcentral